GGGGGGGGGGGGGGGGGGGGGGGGGGGGGGGGGGGAGGGGGGGGGGGGGGGAGGUGGGUGGGGGGGAUGAGUGGGGAACGGGUGAGUGACGGGUGGGGAACCUGCCUGGGAGCGGGGGAUAAGUAUUGGAAACGAUGGCGAAUGCCGCAUAACAGGAGAGGUUGCAUGACAUUAGCUUAAACGGAGCAAUUGCAUCACUAUCAGAUGGACGUGCGUUGUAGUAGCGAGUGGGUGAGGUUACGGCUCACCAAGUGGACGAUACAUCUCCGACCUGAGAUGGUGAUCGGCCACACUGGGACUGAGACACGGCCCAGACUCCUACGGGAGGCAGCAGUAGGGAAUCUUCGGCAAUGGACGGAAGUCUGACCGAGCAACGCCGCGUGAGUGAAGAAGGUUUUCGGAUCGUAAAGCUCUGUUUUAAGAGAAGAACGAGUGUGAGAGUGGAAAGUUCACACUGUGACGGUAUCUUACCAGAAAGGGACGGCUAACUACGUG
RNAcentral lists this ribosomal RNA (495 nucleotides) under uncultured bacterium. RNAcentral's name for it is "partial 16S ribosomal RNA". The stretch from base 51 to 495 matches the Rfam family "Bacterial small subunit ribosomal RNA", at positions 39 to 507 of the family's 1533-position model. The record is from RNAcentral.